CUGCACAGGACGCGAGGAUGCUGACAGUUCCUCACAGCCACACAGGACGCGAGGAUGCUGACAGUUCCUCACAGCCACACAG
RNAcentral lists this microRNA precursor (82 nucleotides) under Pongo abelii (Sumatran orangutan). RNAcentral describes it as "miRNA". Lineage: Eukaryota; Metazoa; Chordata; Mammalia; Primates; Hominidae. The record is from RNAcentral.